RNAcentral lists this ribosomal RNA (255 nucleotides) under Klebsiella pneumoniae. RNAcentral's name for it is "partial 16S ribosomal RNA". It matches the Rfam family "Bacterial small subunit ribosomal RNA", at positions 194 to 453 of the family's 1533-position model. The record is from RNAcentral. Lineage: Bacteria; Pseudomonadati; Pseudomonadota; Gammaproteobacteria; Enterobacterales; Enterobacteriaceae.
GGGGGACCUUCGGGCCUCAUGCCAUCAGAUGUGCCCAGAUGGGAUUAGCUAGUAGGUGGGGUAACGGCUCACCUAGGCGACGUCCCUAGCUGGUCUGAGAGGAUGACCAGCCACACUGGAACUGAGACACGGUCCAGACUCCUACGGGAGGCAGCAGUGGGGAAUAUUGCACAAUGGGCGCAAGCCUGAUGCAGCCAUGCCGCGUGUGUGAAGAAGGCCUCGGGUUGUAAAGCACUUUCAGCGGGGAGGAAGGCG